This 580-nucleotide ribosomal RNA is filed under the name Haptophyta environmental samples. RNAcentral's name for it is "SSU rRNA". It matches the Rfam family "Eukaryotic small subunit ribosomal RNA", at positions 575 to 1159 of the family's 1831-position model. The record is from RNAcentral. Lineage: Eukaryota; Haptophyta.
CGCGGUAAUUCCAGCUCUAAUAGCGUAUAUUAAAGUUGUUGCAGUUAGAACGCUCGUAGUCGGAUUUCGGGGCGGGCCGACCGGUCUGCCGAUGGGUACGCACUGGUCGGCGCGUCCUUCCUUCCGGAGACCGUGCCUACUCUUAACUGAGCGGGGGCGGGAGACGGAUCGUUUACUUUGAAAAAAUCAGAGUGUUUCAAGCAGGCAGCUCGCUCUUGCAUGGAUUAGCAUGGGAUAAUGAAAUAGGACUUUGGUGCUAUUUUGUUGGUUUCGAACACCGAAGUAAUGAUUAAAAGGGACAGUCAGGGGCACUCGUAUUCCGCCGAGAGAGGUGAAAUUCUCAGACCAGCGGAAGACGAACCACUGCGAAAGCAUUUGCCAGGGAUGUUUUCACUGAUCAAGAACGAAAGUUAGGGGAUCGAAGAGGAUCAGAUACCCUCGUAGUCUUAACCAUAAACCAUGCCGACUAGGGAUUGGAGGAUGUUCACUGAUUGACUCCUUCAGCACCUUACGGGAAACUAAAGUCUUUGGGUUCCGGGGGGAGUAUGGUCGCAAGGCUGAAUCUCAAAGGAACUGACGG